RNAcentral lists this ribosomal RNA (1623 nucleotides) under Triticum aestivum (bread wheat). RNAcentral's name for it is "partial small subunit ribosomal RNA". The record is from RNAcentral. Lineage: Eukaryota; Viridiplantae; Streptophyta; Magnoliopsida; Poales; Poaceae.
AUGUCGCCUCAGCCGCCCCGCGACCUCCCCGAGGACAGGGGGGAGGCCAAUGUGCUCAUCGAGGAGGCCCCGGGGUCGCCGCCGGCCAAGGAGGCGGGGGCGGGCGGCGCCGUAGGCUGGGCGCUGUCACCGGUGGCGUGGUUCCGGAUGCUGGUUAGGGAGCUGCACUGGAGCUUCGUGCUCGGCGUGGUGGCCACCUACGGCAUCAGCCAGGGGCUCGGGGGCGGCAUAUCGCGCGUCGCCUCCGACUACUACUGGAAGGACGUCCAGAAGGUGCAGCCGUCGGCGGCGCAGGUGUACCACGGCGUCACGUCCAUCCCCUGGCUUGUCAAGCCGGUCUGGGGCCUGCUCACCGACGUGCUCCCCGUCGCCGGCUACCGGCGCCGGCCCUACUUCGUCCUUGCAGGCAUAAUGGGAGUGAUUGCUAUGCUUAUAGUCUCUCUCCACAGCAAGCUUCAUGUGAUGUUCGCAUUGUUGGCAUUGAUGUCUGGGAGUGCAAGUGUAGCAAUAGCUGAUGUAACUAUAGAUGCCUGUGUGGCCGAAAACAGUCUAAUACACCCUCAUCUCGCGGCUGACAUGAUGAGCUUAAAUGGCUUCUGUUCAUCUGUUGGAGGUCUUAUUGGAUUCUCAAUAAGUGGUUUUCUUGUUCAUGCAAUUGGAUCACAGGGAACCCUUGGCAUUUUAACCAUACCUUCUGCCUUGGUAAUUUUAGCUGGAAUACUGCUAAAGGAUGUCCAUAUCCCUAACUUCCCAUACGGGCAGGCUCAUAAGAAGUUUGUAGAAGCCAGUGGAAAAAUGUUAAGGACCUUAAAAUGCCCUGAAGUAUGGCGGCCAUGUUUUUACAUGUACAUGUCGCUUGCUCUCAGUGUGGAUAUUCAAGAAGGAAUGUUCUACUGGUACACAGACCCAAGUGCAGGGCCAUCUUUCUCUGAGGGAUUCAUUGGGUUUAUCUUCGCAAUUGGUUCAGUGGGAUCUCUUGUUGGAGUUAUACUUUAUCAAAAUAUUCUGAGGGACCACUCUUUUCGCAGUGUUCUUUGUUCAAGUCAGUUGCUGCUAAGCCUGUCAGGAAUGCUUGAUCUGAUUUUGGUACUUCGUCUAAAUCUAAAACUUGGGAUACCUGAUUACUACUUCGCUGUGAUCGACGAGGGGGUCGCCAAGAUGAUCAACCGCAUCAAGUGGAUGCCUCUUUUGGUGCUCAGCUCAAAGCUUUGCCCACCUGGCAUCGAGGGCACAUUCUUCGCGCUGCUCAUGUCCAUUGACAAUAUUGGCGUGCUGUCAGCAUCUUGGAUCGGUGGGCUACUCCUUCAUUUGUUAAGGAUCACAAGAACAGAGUUCAAAAACCUCUGGGCCGCCAUCUUGAUCCGAAAUGUGAUGAGGCUACUACCGUUGGCACUGCUAUUCUUGGUGCCGAGAAGUGACCCGAAUUCUAACAUACUUCCUGCUGAUUUGCUGGCUGAGUAUGACGGUGCCGAGGCUCGACGAAUAGAGAACGUCGAGCUAACCUCCCUUACCGUUGACAAGAAUACGAGCACCGAUGCCUCGCUCCAGGAAUGCAAAACCCAGGAGCAUCUUGAUGUAGGGCAAGAUGACGACGAGGCUUCGUUACUCGCCAACAGGGGCUGA